Molecule: long non-coding RNA, 1554 nt
Organism: Alnus glutinosa
Lineage: Eukaryota; Viridiplantae; Streptophyta; Magnoliopsida; Fagales; Betulaceae
Exons: 2
Source: RefSeq, a predicted model, not a curated record
UUCUUCUCCUUUCUCCUUCUUUCUCAUUCCUUUCCUUCUCUCUGUAUUCUGAGAGUUACAGGAGACUGAGUGAGGAAGUAUGAGACAGUGAGAUAGAAGAAUUGAAGAGAAAUUUUGAGGUCAGUGAAGGAACAGAGAACCGGUUCCCUUCUUCCUUAAAUUUCUUCUUUCUUCUUCUUUUCUAUUCGGCUUCUUUAUGUUCUUCAUUCUUCUAUUCAAAAACUGAGAGACCCGAGAGAAGGAUUUUAGAGUCAGAGGGAAGAAGAGAGAGUGAGAGAUGAGAAAGGAGAGAACAAUUCUGCCAAACCCAGCUCGGAUCCACUGUGACCAAACCCAGUGAACCAGAACCAGCCGUGCAACCCAGAAUCCGUGGAUUCCAGCAACCCAGCAACAUAACCCACCGAACCAGAAGAAACCCAGACCCAGCAAUCCGGCAUGAACCCAGAACCCAGUUGACCCGUGCAACCAUGAACGAGCCAGUGAACCCAGAACCUGUAGCAGUGACUGAACCCAGUGAACCAGGGCCUUGAACCCGCAACCCCGCCUGGCCGAACCCAUCUUCGGUGACCGGUCCUCCAUAAACCGAGACUCAACGAACCUCGACUGAUCUACCGUGACUCUCGGCAAACCUAUACCCGUAGCAGACUAGCAGGCCUGAAGCAAACCCAACGAACCCGGACGAUCCACUGUGAUCCCAUCAAACCGUGACCCAGCCAAUCCGUGAAGCAGAAACCUCUUUCGGCAGACCAAACCCCGUGAACCCGAAGGGCGUGAAACCAGUAAACCUAGAACUACCCGAACUAUCCACGCCGAGUCUCCAUCUAUUAACACCAUGAGCCAUUCAACCCAAAAACCCGUAGCCCAGAACCAUAAAGCCCGUGACCCACGGCACAGCCCAAACCGCAGUUCAGCCCAAUCCAGCAACCCGGACCUGACUCUAACCCAGAUCCGAAACCCAUUAAAUCCAGCAGAUUUGGUUUUGCUCGGACAGCCUUGAUUUCUGGCCCAACCCAAUCUGAAUUUUAACCCAGAACCGGUCAGACCCAUAACCAUCAAACCCAGUUAUGACCCGGCCCAGUUGUGAUCCAUCACAGCAAGCCCAACCCGGACAGCCCAUAACCCGAGACCAACUGACCCGGACCCAUACCCGUGACCCGAACCAGAAACCCGACCCGCCGGUGACCCAUCUCCGGCGACUUUCCGGUGACUUUCCGGCGACUUUCCGGUGAAUUUUUCCGGCGAAUUUCCGUGACCGAACUUACUAUUUUCACUAGAUUUUCUAGUGAAAAUUCUUAAUAAGAUAUACUAAGAAAACAAUACAAAGAGGAGUAAAGCUCGAUCCCGAUAUUAAUGAGAAAUUCGGUUAUGAACAGAGAGACGUAGGUGGCCGGGAUGGGAUCUAGGAAUGCAUUAGGACAUUUCAUUUAUGUUACCCCAUAAUUUUCAGUUAUUGUAUUUUUACAAUUAAAUGACCGUUUCCGCAUUUAUUAAAAACUCUGAUAUUUUGAAACCAUUAUUAUUUUAUUUAUUUAAAUCAGCAUACUAGUUAAGAUA